GUCUCGCGUCAGGAUGAACGCUAGCGGCAGGCCUAACACAUGCAAGUCGAGGGGCAUCGGGAUUGAAGCUUGCUUCAAUUGCCGGCGACCGGCGCACGGGUGCGUAACGCGUAUGUAACCUACCUAUAACAGGGGCAUAACACUGAGAAAUUGGUACUAAUUCCCCAUAAUAUUCGGAGAGGCAUCUCUCCGGGUUGAAAACUCCGGUGGUUAUAGAUGGACAUGCGUUGUAUUAGCUAGUUGGUG
Molecule: ribosomal RNA, 246 nt
Filed under: uncultured bacterium
Lineage: Bacteria
Description: partial 16S ribosomal RNA
Rfam family: Bacterial small subunit ribosomal RNA
Source: RNAcentral